Molecule: transfer RNA, 76 nt
Filed under: Bacillota bacterium
Lineage: Bacteria; Bacillati; Bacillota
Also listed under: 2 other names
Description: tRNA-Thr
Rfam family: tRNA
About the family: Transfer RNA (tRNA) molecules are approximately 80 nucleotides in length. Their secondary structure includes four short double-helical elements and three loops (D, anti-codon, and T loops).
Source: RNAcentral
GCCACCAUGGCUCAGCUGGUAGAGCAGCGCAUUCGUAAUGCGCGGGUCAAGGGUUCGAGUCCCUUUGGUGGCUCCA